Daphnia pulicaria is the source of this 508-nucleotide long non-coding RNA. RefSeq lists it as uncharacterized. The transcript has 3 exons. NCBI's taxonomy places the organism in Eukaryota, Metazoa, Arthropoda, Branchiopoda, Diplostraca, Daphniidae. The record is from RefSeq and is a predicted model, not a curated record.
UGAACAGGAGCGCUCAUAUGAACUCCGCUGAGUUUCUCGCUUAAUUUGUCCAAUGUAUUCAUGACGUAAUCUGGGGUGUCGUUACGGCGGGUCUUGAUUUUAUUUAAGUCAUCUGUGUUCCACAAGCUGCAGCCUGAAGAAGAAAAAAACAACAUUUUUCAGCGCAAGUAGUAGCUAUAAAGUCAUACCUAUAUCAAUCUGUUCCCUACGUGCGUCGUAGAGAGCUCCCUCUCGGAAGUCUCUUUGAAGUGCGGGAAUUUCCAAAAUUUGGGUACCGACAUCCGUGAUGGACAUUUUUUAAUUGCAAUUUAUUCCUUUUAGGGAUUGCGCAACGUAUUUCCAGGUAUUUCAUUCAAUCCCGAUUUUAGUCUUACCUUGACAAAUUCGUUAAACGAGCUGCAGAAAAGUUACACUUUCACACCGGUGUACGGUAUCCGAGAAGCAAGCGAGUGCGACUGAGUAAUGGCGAAUGUGAUGCUUCGUUUUCAAGUUAUCGUUGCUUAAAAGA